CCUACGGGGGGCAGCAGUGAGGAAUUUUGCGCAAUGGGGGCAACCCUGACGCAGCAACGCCGCGUGAGUGAAGAAGGCCUUUGGGUCGUAAAGCUCUGUCAACAAGGAAGAAAUUACAAUUAUUUAAUAGAUAAUUGUAUUGACGGUACUUGUGGAGGAAGCGCCGGCUAACUCCGUGCCAGCAGCCGCGGUAACACGGGGGGCGCAAGCGUUAUUCGGAAUUAUUGGGCGUAAAGGGCGCGCAGGCGGUCUUGUCCGUCAGGUGUGAAAGCUCGGGGCUCAACCCCGGAAGUGCACUUGAAACAGCAAGACUUGAAUACGGGAGAGGAGAGAGGAAUUCCUGGUGUAGAGGUGAAAUUCGUAGAUAUCAGGAGGAACACCGAUGGCGAAGGCAUCUCUCUGGACCGAUAUUGACGCUGAGGCGCGAAGGCGUGGGUAGCGAACGGGAUUAGAUACCCCCGUAGUC
This 466-nucleotide ribosomal RNA is filed under the name uncultured bacterium. RNAcentral describes it as "bacterial SSU rRNA". It matches the Rfam family "Bacterial small subunit ribosomal RNA", at positions 338 to 795 of the family's 1533-position model. The record is from RNAcentral.